RNAcentral lists this microRNA precursor (67 nucleotides) under Bombyx mori (domestic silkworm). Its description in RNAcentral is "mir-2774 microRNA precursor family". It matches the Rfam family "mir-2774 microRNA precursor family". The record is from Rfam by way of RNAcentral. Lineage: Eukaryota; Metazoa; Arthropoda; Insecta; Lepidoptera; Bombycidae.
AAAACAUUCAGAUCUUCGGUCUACCGAGCAAUACCAGUCGCUUGAUGGGAGAUCUUCCAUCUGUUGU